Molecule: transfer RNA, 72 nt
Organism: Camelus ferus (Wild Bactrian camel)
Lineage: Eukaryota; Metazoa; Chordata; Mammalia; Artiodactyla; Camelidae
Rfam family: tRNA
About the family: Transfer RNA (tRNA) molecules are approximately 80 nucleotides in length. Their secondary structure includes four short double-helical elements and three loops (D, anti-codon, and T loops). Further hydrogen bonds mediate the characteristic L-shaped molecular structure. tRNAs have two regions of fundamental functional importance: the anti-codon, which is responsible for specific mRNA codon recognition, and the 3' end, to which the tRNAs corresponding amino acid is attached (by aminoacyl-tRNA synthetases). tRNAs cope with the degeneracy of the genetic code in two manners: having more than one tRNA (with a specific anti-codon) for a particular amino acid; and 'wobble' base-pairing, i.e. permitting non-standard base-pairing at the 3rd anti-codon position.
Source: Rfam
GAGGGUAUAGCUCAGUGGUAGAGCAUGUACUUAGCACGCACAAGGUCCUGGGUUCAAGCCUCGGUACCAACA